AGAAUCAACGCUGGCGGCGUGCCUAACACAUGCAAGUCGAACGAGAAAGUGGAGCAAUCCAUGAGUAAAGUGGCGCACGGGUGAGUAACACGUGACUAACCUACCCUUGAGUGGGGAAUAACUUCGGGAAACCGAGGCUAAUACCGCAUAACACCUACGGGUCAAAGGAGCAAUUCGCUUAAGGAGGGGGUCGCGGCAGAUUAGUUAGUUGGCGGGGUAAUGGCCCACCAAGACGGUGAUCUGUAUCCGGCCUGAGAGGGCGCACGGACACACUGGAACUGAAACACGGUCCAGACUCCUACGGGAGGCAGCAGUGGGAAUUUGCGCAAUGGGGGAAACCCUGACGCAGCAACGCCGCGUGGAGGAUGAAGUCCCUUGGGACGUAAACUCCUUUCGAUCGGGACGAUUAUGACGGUACCGGAAGAAGAAGCACCGGCUAACUCUGCGCCAGCAGCCGC
Molecule: ribosomal RNA, 458 nt
Filed under: uncultured bacterium
Lineage: Bacteria
Description: SSU rRNA
Rfam family: Bacterial small subunit ribosomal RNA
Source: RNAcentral